UUAAGCGACUAAGCGUACACGGUGGAUGCCCUGGCAGUCAGAGGCGAUGAAGGACGUGCUAAUCUGCGAAAAGCGUCGGUAAGGUGAUAUGAACCGUUACAGCCGGCGAUGUCCGAAUGGGGAAACCCAGUGCAAUUCGUUGCACUAUCGUUAACUGAAUACAUAGGUUAACGAGGCGAACCGGGGGAACUGAAACAUCUAAGUACCCCGAGGAAAAGAAAUCAACCGAGAUUCCCCCAGUAGCGGCGAGCGAACGGGGAGCAGCCCAGAGUCUGAAUCAGCUUGUGUGUUAGUGGAACGGUCUGGAAAGUCCGACGGUACAGGGUGAUAGUCCCGUACACCAAAAUGCACAGGCUGUGAACUCGAAGAGUAGGGCGGGACACGUGGUAUCCUGUCUGAAUAUGGGGGGACCAUCCUCCAAGGCUAAAUACUCCUGACUGACCGAUAGUGAACCAGUACCGUGAGGGAAAGGCGAAAAGAACCCCGGCGAGGGGAGUGAAAAAGAACCUGAAACCGUGUACGUACAAGCAGUGGGAGCACCUUCGGGUGUGACUGCGUACCUUUUGUAUAAUGGGUCAGCGACUUAUAUUCUGUAGCAAGGUUAACCGUAUAGGGGAGCCGCAGGGAAACCGAGUCUUAACUGGGCGUUAAGUUGCAGGGUAUAGACCCGAAACCCGGUGAUCUAGCCAUGGGCAGGUUGAAGGUUGGGUAACACUAACUGGAGGACCGAACCGACUAAUGUUGAAAAAUUAGCGGAUGACUUGUGGCUGGGGGUGAAAGGCCAAUCAAACCGGGAGAUAGCUGGUUCUCCCCGAAAGCUAUUUAGGUAGCGCCUCGUGAACUCAUCUUCGGGGGUAGAGCACUGUUUCGGCUAGGGGGUCAUCCCGACUUACCAACCCGAUGCAAACUACGAAUACCGAAGAAUGUUAUCACGGGAGACACACGGCGGGUGCUAACGUCCGUCGUGAAGAGGGAAACAACCCAGACCGCCAGCUAAGGUCCCAAAGUCAUGGUUAAGUGGGAAACGAUGUGGGAAGGCACAGACAGCCAGGAUGUUGGCUUAGAAGCAGCCAUCAUUUAAAGAAAGCGUAAUAGCUCACUGGUCGAGUCGGCCUGCGCGGAAGAUGUAACGGGGCUAAACCAUGCACCGAAGCUGCGGCAGCGACACUAUGUGUUGUUGGGUAGGGGAGCGUUCUGUAAGCCUGCGAAGGUGUGCUGUGAGGCAUGCUGGAGGUAUCAGAAGUGCGAAUGCUGACAUAAGUAACGAUAAAGCGGGUGAAAAGCCCGCUCGCCGGAAGACCAAGGGUUCCUGUCCAACGUUAAUCGGGGCAGGGUGAGUCGACCCCUAAGGCGAGGCCGAAAGGCGUAGUCGAUGGGAAACAGGUUAAUAUUCCUGUACUUGGUGUUACUGCGAAGGGGGGACGGAGAAGGCUAUGUUAGCCGGGCGACGGUUGUCCCGGUUUAAGCAUGUAGGCUGGUUAUCCAGGCAAAUCCGGAUAAUCAAGGCUGAGGUGUGAUGACGAGGCACUACGGUGCUGAAGUAACAAAUGCCCUGCUUCCAGGAAAAGCCUCUAAGCAUCAGGUAACAUCAAAUCGUACCCCAAACCGACACAGGUGGUCAGGUAGAGAAUACCAAGGCGCUUGAGAGAACUCGGGUGAAGGAACUAGGCAAAAUGGUGCCGUAACUUCGGGAGAAGGCACGCUGGUGUGUAGGUGAAGUCCCUGCGGAUGGAGCUGAGACCAGUCGAAGAUACCAGCUGGCUGCAACUGUUUAUUAAAAACACAGCACUGUGCAAACACGAAAGUGGACGUAUACGGUGUGACGCCUGCCCGGUGCCGGAAGGUUAAUUGAUGGGGUUAUCCGUAAGGAGAAGCUCUUGAUCGAAGCCCCGGUAAACGGCGGCCGUAACUAUAACGGUCCUAAGGUAGCGAAAUUCCUUGUCGGGUAAGUUCCGACCUGCACGAAUGGCGUAAUGAUGGCCAGGCUGUCUCCACCCGAGACUCAGUGAAAUUGAACUCGCUGUGAAGAUGCAGUGUACCCGCGGCAAGACGGAAAGACCCCGUGAACCUUUACUAUAGCUUGACACUGAACAUUGAGCCUUGAUGUGUAGGAUAGGUGGGAGGCUUUGAAGCGUGGACGCCAGUCUGCGUGGAGCCAACCUUGAAAUACCACCCUUUAAUGUUUGAUGUUCUAACGUUGGCCCCUGACCGGGGUUGCGGACAGUGUCUGGUGGGUAGUUUGACUGGGGCGGUCUCCUCCCAAAGCGUAACGGAGGAGCACGAAGGUUAGCUAAUCCUGGUCGGACAUCAGGAGGUUAGUGCAAUGGCAUAAGCUAGCUUGACUGCGAGCGUGACGGCGCGAGCAGGUGCGAAAGCAGGUCAUAGUGAUCCGGUGGUUCUGAAUGGAAGGGCCAUCGCUCAACGGAUAAAAGGUACUCCGGGGAUAACAGGCUGAUACCGCCCAAGAGUUCAUAUCGACGGCGGUGUUUGGCACCUCGAUGUCGGCUCAUCACAUCCUGGGGCUGAAGUAGGUCCCAAGGGUAUGGCUGUUCGCCAUUUAAAGUGGUACGCGAGCUGGGUUUAGAACGUCGUGAGACAGUUCGGUCCCUAUCUGCCGUGGGCGCUGGAGAAUUGAGGGGGGCUGCUCCUAGUACGAGAGGACCGGAGUGGACGCAUCACUGGUGUUCGGGUUGUCAUGCCAAUGGCACUGCCCGGUAGCUAAAUGCGGAAGAGAUAAGUGCUGAAAGCAUCUAAGCACGAAACUUGCCCCGAGAUGAGUUCUCCCUGAGACUUUAAGUCUCCUGAAGGAACGUUGAAGACGACGACGUUGAUAGGCCGGGUGUGUAAGCGCAGCGAUGCGUUGAGCUAACCGGUACUAAUGAACCGUGAGGCUUAACCUU
Molecule: ribosomal RNA, 2900 nt
Filed under: Klebsiella pneumoniae
Lineage: Bacteria; Pseudomonadati; Pseudomonadota; Gammaproteobacteria; Enterobacterales; Enterobacteriaceae
Description: bacterial LSU rRNA
Rfam family: Bacterial large subunit ribosomal RNA
Source: RNAcentral